AUACGGAGGAUCCGAGCGUUAUCCGGAUUUAUUGGGUUUAAAGGGUGCGCAGGCGGCCAUUUAAGUCAGCGGUUAAAUCGUGGGGCUCAACCCCAUUCUGCCGUUGAUACUGGGUGGCUUGAUUGCGGUCGAGGUUGGCGGAAUUCGUUGUGUAGCGGUGAGAUGCAUAGAUAUGACGAAGAACACCGAUUGCGUAGGCAGCUGACCAGACCGCAAAUGACGCUCAUGCACGAAAGUGCGGGGAUCGAACAGGAUUAGAUACCCUGGUAGUCCGCACAGUAAACGAUGAAUACUUGUUUUCGGCGAUAUAAUGUCGGAGGCAAAGCGAAAGCGAUAAGUAUUCCACCUGGGGAGUACGCCGGCAACGGUGAAACUCAAAUGAAUUGACGGGG
This 392-nucleotide ribosomal RNA is filed under the name uncultured bacterium. Its description in RNAcentral is "partial 16S ribosomal RNA". It matches the Rfam family "Bacterial small subunit ribosomal RNA", at positions 523 to 918 of the family's 1533-position model. The record is from RNAcentral.